Molecule: long non-coding RNA, 4959 nt
Filed under: Homo sapiens (human)
Lineage: Eukaryota; Metazoa; Chordata; Mammalia; Primates; Hominidae
Description: HSALNT0346958
Source: RNAcentral
UCCUGUAAAGGGCCAGGUGGGAAGCACUCGUAGGCCCCGUGGUCUCUGUCGUGUCUGCUGAAGCCUGCCGUAGUAGCAUGGAAGCAGUCAGAGAUGACGUGUAAGCAAAUGGUCCCGACUGACCUCCGGUAAAGCAUUGAUUCCGGAAGCAUUUAACAGACCUAACAACCUUUCAAACCGCAUGGCGUUUCUUUCCCGGAUCCCGUUUCAGGAACGUUUCUGUUGGCUACAAGGACCGUCUCCAACAUGCUUAGGCUCUGUGAACUUUCCCAGGAUCCUGAGUAGGGUAUCCGCCAUUCGUCCUUAGGGCUCCGGGAUGUCUCGUUCUUACUGUGUCCCUGCCAACCCUGGUCCCAUCUCGUCAUGAUCACCCACUGCAGAAGAGAGGAGGUGCUAGAGUGAACAGGGUCAGGGGAGCCCCGUUCAUCCCCAGGGUCCCAGAAUGAACCAGUGUUACCAUGUACCCCUGCCCUUGCCUUCCUCCCUGCUCUAAUGGCCGUGUGUUAGCCGGAGAUCAGUUUGGGUCUGGGUGCUAUGGGUCUGUUGCGCCUGUGGCCUUGGUCCGGCCUCUGUCCUUGUCUCUGUGAAAUGAGAGUGACUGUGCCUGAGAGCGUUCCAGCAAGACAAUGAUGAUCUCCACUGUCUGAUUCCCGCUUCCCAGGUUCUCACAAUAGAUGAGGAUCCUGUUUUUCAGCCAGCUGCCGCAGAGGGGCUGGACAUUUCUCCCUUCAGACAGGACCAGGAAGGCCCGGAAGCAUCUGAGGAAGGGUGUCGCCAUGAGUAGAGAAAUCGAGGCUAUGGGCGGAAGUGGGAAGAAGCGAGAGAGGAAGACUCAUGGAAAGCCUUGCUGCGCUUGCCAAAAGAACUGCCCUCGGACUCAAGAGGGCCACGUUCAAUGCCAACCUGACAUAAGAAGAGCCAUGUGACCAGAUCCCUGGUUUGGCAGAGGAGACAUGCGAGAAGACGGAACGUUUUGGCCGAGGAGACAUCUGGCAGGGUGGAACGGAGGGAACAGGUGUGGCAGAGAGAAUAUCUGAGAAGCUCGCAGGAUUCCCAGAAGGAGCACUGGGAGUAGAUUGCCUGUUUUCCCGAAGGAACGGCAAGUUCCAAAGCUGUGCUGUGGGCAGUGUUUACUUCAUGUCUGCUUUGCUGGCGGGCCAAGUAGCAACAGCUGCAGUCGGCGUGUUCUCUGAAGGCAGCGUGUGAAGGGUGGAGGGGUUGCUCUUCUUCCCAGGUGUCUUUUGAAGAGGCAGUCAAGUCAGCAGCUCACAGUGGCCUUCUGGUAACAUCGUAUGGGCUGGGUUACAGCACAUGCCGACUGCUAAGCCAGUCACUGGGGAAAACCAUGUGAUUGCUGUGAUGAGCUUAGAAUGAUCAUUCCUCCUUCAGGAGCUGGGGUGGGUUGAGGGAACGAUAAAGAUCCUGAUAACCUUGCAUUUCUCCAGCGAGAAAGAAGAAAUUCCGUGGAUAGGGAGCCAGCCAGGUUUCCUGCAGAGAUUCACGGGAAGCUUUUGAGCAGGGGAGUCAGAAGAUGAGCGAUUCUCACAGUAGACGAGGAGCCUGUUUUUCAGCUAGCUGCUGCAAGGAGCUGGACAUUUCUCCCUUCAAAUAGGACCUGGAAGGCCUGGAAGCAUCUGGAGAAGGGCAUGGCUGUGAGUAGAGAAACAGAGGAUACAGGCUAAAGCAGGAGGAAGCGAGAGGACUCACGGAAAGCCUUGCUGCACUCUCCAAAAGAGCUGCCCUUUUCACGUGAAGAGCUAUGUGAUCGGAUCCCCGGUUUGGCAGAGUAGACAUGCGAGAAGACUGAACGUUUCAUCGUUGAAACCUCUUAAAGGUGGAAUGUGUGGCAGAAAGAACGUCUGAGAAGCUCACGCGAUUUGCAGAAGGAACAUUUGUAGAAGAUUCCCUGUUUUCCGAAGGAAUGUCAAGUUCCAAAGCCAUGCCGUGGGCAGUUUUUAGUUCAUGUGUGCUUUUCCGGUGGACUGAGUAGCAACAGCUGCAGUUGGCGUGUUGUCUGAAGGCAGUAUCUGAAGUGUGGAUGGGUUGGUCUUCUUCCCAGGUGUCUUUUCAACAGGCAGUCAAGUCUGCAGCUCAUAGUGACCUUCCGGAAACAUCAUAUGAACGUCCGAGAAGAUUCAGUGUUUGGCAGAAGAAACCUCUGUCAGACGUGAACGUGUGACAGAAGGGCCAUCCAGGAAGAUUGCACACUGGGCAGAAAGAAGACUUAAGAACAUUGCAUGGACAGCAGAAGGAGUGCUUCGGGAGAUUGCCUGGUGGGCGCCAGGAACACCUGAGAUGAUGUCAUGGCAAACAGUGGAAAUGAGAGGUUUACAUUUAAUGUCUUGUUUACAUAAGGUAGUAAACUCUGGAGCACUUGUGGUUAGGGGUGAAAACUCACCCUGGGUGAAGGAAGAAUCUUCCCUCUUCCCAGAGGGGCAAUGACUGGAAACGAGCAAGUAGGUGGGGUCUUUAAAGGGCCACAGUACUAGGCUCUAUCCUGACAGCUGUUCAGACUGCCCCAAAAGGCUUGUGAGAAGUUGUUGCUAGGGCAUAACAGGACAGUUAGAUUAAGAGUAGGAGUGAUAGCUUCUUCAACACUUUGGAGCAGGAAGGAAUGGAAGCAAGAUACAGUUGGAAGAGGGUGUAGUGGGUGACUUGAUGAAUCGAGUUCAUGGUAUUAUUUUUGACUUGGAUUCUCCUUCAUUGGCAUGCUUCUGAGUUGGCGUCAUUGCCUCUGCCCUGAUCCUUCCCUUGAGUGGGGCUGUUCACCAGUGCAGCGGCCAGUGAGCUCUUUGGGCGGGGUGUGUGGCAUACACAGUGCGAUGUCUGGAAUCUUACACGUGCUUACUUGAGGCAUUCUUACUCCACCGGUCGAGUGUUCUCAAAGAAAGAUGAUGGAGCUGCUAAACCUUGCCCAUUUUGAUCUGUUAUGUGAGACUUGCCUUUCGCCUUCUGUCAUGAUUGUGAAGUGUCCCCAGCCAUGUGGAACUGACACAUAUUGCUUGUCUCUGAACUUCUCAGCUGCCUGCAGAUCUUCCUGUUUUUCAGCUGCAGUUAGGGUUUGUCUGAGGAGAAGCAUAACAUCCCUCCAGGCCAAAUGCUCCACAAAUAAAUGUGUUGAAUGAAUGAACAAAUGAAUAAGCGAAGUGAAUGGAACAUCAAACUGCAUAAAAAUAUAUUUAUUCAUAAAUGAGAGGUGAUGAUUGCCAACAUAUCAUAAUCAGACUCUGACCUUGGUUACUUAUGAGUUUGACAACGAAGAGGAAAGAGGAUCAGAAUGGAUCUACAUUUGUCCUGUGUCAAUGGCUAUCCAGAAGCGGUAACUUUGCUGGUGCACAGAAAGUGCCAGCUUAACGUGUGUGACGGUGAAAACACGACACCUCUGAUGAAGAUAUAUAGUAGCCAGUUAUUUCAGCAUGAGAUGGAUUUGGUUUAAAUACAUAGAAUAAAAAUGGAUUUAUUUCAUUGAAAUGUAACUAAUUUGUGAACCUAUGGAAUAUUUAUUUGUAUUUUCUAGAAUUUACAAUGUGUUUCUUGGUCUAAUACUGACAGGCUAUACAAUGCCAAGAAGAUGUUUAUGCAACUAUUCUGCUGGACUUUGGUGCCUAUCCAGAUAUUACAGAUAUCAACAGAAAAACUGCUCUCCACUGUGCUGUCUAUAGUGAGAAUAUGUCAGUGGUGGCAAAACUGCUUUCACACAACACAAACAUCUAAGUGAAAAAUGGAGUAGAGAAUAACCAACAUUAUUUUCAAAAUAUUUGAAAUCCAUUUGCUUUAACACUGACAUGCGUUAGGGUCAGUUUUUCAUAUUUGGAAGCUCAAGCAUGCUCUUCUGUGAAUGAAAAUAUUCUGAAGUAACUGUCUAAUAAUUUAAAUAUUAAUGUUUUUAAAGAAGUAUUAGACGGUAUAGCUUUCUUUCAUGCAUUUAUGAUAAAUAUUUAAAUUUAUUAAAGGUAAAAGUUUGUUUUUCAAAUAUUUUAGCCACUCAAGUUUUUGUUCUUUCUAAUUAGUGUAAAACAACACAGAAAAGCAAAAUGUGCCUGCAUAAACUGAGUCAACAUGUAAACCUUUUGAUAUUUAUUAUUAAAUAAGUUAUUUGGCAAUGUAUCAAAUUUUUAAAUGUGUGUCCCUUUUGACCUAGAAAUUCUACUCCCAGGAAUUUCUCCUAAGAAGAUAAUCAGAAAAGUUUACAAAGAUGAAUAGAAAAGAAGAGUCACUGCAGCCUUAUUUGUAAAAGUGAAAAAUAGCAACAGCCCAAAUGUCAUGAAUGGAGAAUUAAUAUAUGGUGCAUCCAUACAAAAAUACUGUGCAGCGAGUAAGCCAAUGAAGCCCAAAAUUUCUGACAUGGACAUUGACAUAGCAGAGUGACAAUAACGAGGUUAUAAAACAUCAUCAGUGAAAGGUCUAUUUGUACAAAUUAAUUUUUUGAGUGUAUACUUAGGGUAUAUAAAAUGUAUUUGGUUAAUGUCAAAAUAAUUAUCUUUGCUUAAGUAAAAUUUGGGGGCAAUUUAAAUUUUUUAAUAUAUUUUCUUAUAUUGACCAGUUUUCUUAAAAAGUAGAUACUAUUUUUAUAAUCAUACAACAGCAAGAGAGGAGCUCUCAUACCUUCUCCAUUCUUCUGUAUUACCUAUUACAUAGUGAAUUUUUUUCUAAAAUUAAUACUGAAUAAAAGUUUCCACAGCUUUAAAAUAAAGGCCUAAAAACCACUCUUUCAGAUUAGAUCCUGGGCAACUAAAAUUUUAAACACCUAAACAACACCAAGCACUUAAAGCUUGAGAACUUAAAUUUAAGAAAAAUGGUUGAACAAUUUUUGUUUCCACCCUUGAUAUCUGAAUGGUUAAACAAUUUUAAAACGAUUUUUUUUUUUUUUUUUUUUUUUUUUUUUGGUAAAUGUGGGACCUCCAUGUGUUGUUGCCCAGGCUGGUCUCGGACUCCUGGCCUCAAGUAAGCAAUCCUCCC